Molecule: small RNA, 132 nt
Filed under: Escherichia coli
Lineage: Bacteria; Pseudomonadati; Pseudomonadota; Gammaproteobacteria; Enterobacterales; Enterobacteriaceae
Description: RtT sRNA
Rfam family: RtT RNA
About the family: This family represents a bacterial cis-regulatory element known as RtT RNA. The exact function of RtT is unknown although it is thought that it may be involved in changing the cellular response in relation to amino acid starvation.
Source: RNAcentral
AUUCUGUCCAAGCGGGGAAGGAUGAGAAGCUUCGACCAAGGUUCGACUUGAGCGCCAGCGAGAGAGCGUUGCCGCAGGCAACGACCCGAAGGGCGAAGCGCGCAGCGCUGAGUAAUCCUUCCCCCACCACCA